Molecule: non-coding RNA, 4644 nt
Organism: Callorhinus ursinus (northern fur seal)
Lineage: Eukaryota; Metazoa; Chordata; Mammalia; Carnivora; Otariidae
Source: RefSeq, a predicted model, not a curated record
AGAGGCUAUCUGGGAACAGCUCCUAAAGAUAGAGCUCGAUAAGGUGUUUUGGAUGGAUAAAUUGAGCAUUGAAUGCAUAGGUUAGAAUAAAAUAAUUUGUGUCAAAGUGGUUUUGUGAUUCCAACAAUACUUAGAGUACUGAGAAUAAAAGCAGAGAAAGUAAGUUGCAGGGUGUGUACAAGGGAAGUGACUUGCAGCAGUCAUUCUGUGUGACCCAGUAGUGACAGCAAGGAACUUGGAACUCAGCUGAAAGGCAGAGGGUAUUUCAUAUGAAUAUGAGGUUGAAAGCCCUUUAUUUCCCCAUGGCCCCAUCACAGUGCCUUUCCAUAGGGUUGAUGUGGGUGGGGAGUUACAGGCUAUUGGUAUGAUGGAACCUAGAGGGUCAGGCCCAUUAUGGUGGGAAGAUUAUCAAGGGUGCUUGCCUGAGAGGAGAGGUGGCCAGAGGCAUCUGGGGUCACCAUGAAGGUGGCAAGUGCAGUCAGUAGGGGUGAGGAUGGUAGACUGAAAGGAGUAGAAGCUGUGAAUGGAGGAACAUUCCAGAAUGUGAGAUCGUGGAGAUGGCACCAUUUUCACUUGGAAAGCCAGCAGCCUAUGGCAAGCAUUAAAACAUUUCAAGGCCAACGGUGCUUUACCCCCAUCCUGAUUCCCUACUCCAAAGGUCGCAUUUCUCUAAACACAUUUAGAGAAAUGUGUUUGGUGGUCUCUCUGAGAUACAAAUGUUUUAACCAGACUCUUUACACUGAUAAUUUAUGUCUUUGGAUGCUGCCCACUGUUUCACUUUCUAGCCCCUUCCACGUUAACUUUAACGCUCUUUUCAUCAAACCCUGCCUAGCCAUGUGUCACAGAUGGGCACCAUUUUUUUCUCAACCAUGAAAGUUGAAAGGUCAAGAUUCAACAUCAUUCACAAAGAUUUCGGUGUGUGGAGGAGGUUCCAAAAUCAAGGCCAGGAAUUACUAAUUCCACAAGAUGGGGGAGGAGGUGAUGUGGGAGAAACAACAAAUGAGCCGUGAUCCCUAGAGUGUCCUCUGAAUAUUCCCGUCUACCUGGAAUCUCAGAAUAUAACCUAUUUGGAAAGAAGGUCUUUGUGGACAUGAUUAGUUUGAGUCAUACUGGAUUAAGGUGGGCUCUGAAUCUAAUGACUGUGUCUUUGUAAGAGGAGAAGACACACAGAGACACAGGGAGAGUGUCAUGGGAAGACAGGGACAGAGCUUGGGGUGCUGGAGCUACAAUCCACAGGGUAUCAAGGAUUGCCAGGAGCCACCAAAAGCAAGGAGAGAUUCUUCUCUAGAGCCUCAAAUGGGGGCAUGGCCCUGCCAACACUUUGGUUGUGGACUUCUAGCCUCUAGAACUGACACAUUUCUACUGUUUUUAAACCAUCCCGUUUGCAAGAAUUUGUUACAGCAACCCUAGGAAACCGAUACAGUCUUCUGACCCUGAUGACUAAGCUUUUCACUGCCCAGCUGGAAGCCUCUCCCAGGAGGCCAUGUUGCCCCUGGAGCCUGUCCCAGUGUAACCGGCAUGAUUUAAAGUCUCGGGAAGCCUUGUGCGAGAAGGCUCCAAGCCCAGGUCAAUGUAUUUCUUUGGCCCGCCCUUGUCAUUACAGCGUUCUGACUUACAUCUUUGCUCCUUUGAACUUCAAUCAAUGGCCGCCCCAGGGACGUUGUUUUGACUACGCCGACGUUUUCUAAACUCCCCACUGUGUGGUUUCCAGGUCAGACAGUCAGGCUUUGUUCUGUGACUCAGCGCCCAAAGAGUCAAUUAAAUCUCGCUCGGCUGCCUUGCGGCCUGGCUUCAGUGACUUAGCGAGAACAGGGGCAUUUACAGGGUUCCUGAGGAAAGCCAGACGUGAUGGGAGGGAGGACCCAGUGCUGACAAAGGGCAGGGGACACAGAUUAGGGAGCUCAGGAUGGCGGUGACAAAUGAAGGCCCCAGGAGCUCAGCUUCCUGUCUUAGAAAGGAGCGGUGGAUUCCUGACACACUAUCUCUGGACCUGAAAGCGAAAGUGAGGGGCUUUGGAAAUCAUUCCGGAGAGGCUGCUAUCAAGGGGCGAAGAGACACGUGUUAGCACCACCGUCCUUCCACCGCAGGAAUGGCCAAGAAUCACAGUGUGAGUCUGGCCGUGAUCUUUAUGGUGGGAGGCUUCCUUUGAAGUCUGACAUCACUGAAAAAAAUUCUCAUAAAACCGAAAAGGAAAAAAAGAGUAUCUCAUCCUGGCUAGGAGCGCACCACAGAAUAUGGAAAUGAGAAACAGUUAUAGCUCACUGCAGAAACAGGAAUGGGCAGAACUGGAAGUCCCUCGGGAAGAGAAAGGUAAAAGAAAAAGCAAGAUUUCUCGAAGGGCCUGGAAAGUGCUACCUUGGUGGCAGGCUUGUUCCCAGGGGAAAAGUCCUGUGUGAGGCCAGGAGACCCAGAGAGAGGACCAGCUCCCACCCUGAGUGCCCAGGGGGGCUCUGGGCAAGUCACAGAGACUCUAGGGGACUCUAGGAAUCUAGGCGAUUCUCGCUGGCCCUCCCUUCCCUUGCAGGAUCAUGUGGGGCUUGGAGGAGACACAGUGUGUGAAAUCACUCUGUACAUUUCUAAGCAGCCUAUAAAUAAAUAUAGACAAGUAAGGACUGGUACCCACUGAAGCUGGUCCCAGGAUGCCUUAGAUAUCCCGUUUACCUGCACCAUGUCAGGCACCAGCUAAGUGGGGGGCUAAGAAUCUCCCCAGAAGCCCAGCUCCAGGGCCCCGGUGGGUUGGGACUAUUCCUUCUUCCCUUGAAUCAGCAACACAGCCAGGAGGAAACAGGCAAGCACAGAGACAGAGACUGGUGUUGCUCCCUUUCCAGAGCAUCAGGAGGGCAGUCCCAUGCCACACUGCCAUCCCAGGGGCUGCUCCUUUGGGCCAUGAGCCCAGAGGGGCCAGCACGGCACAGACCCCAGGGGAGGGGAUGGCCCAGGCCCAGCCACCCAGUGUGCAGCCCUGGCCCAUGCUUUUCUCUGAGCCACCGCAUCACCGAGUGCUUGCAAAAAUUGUGCCGUGAGCACUCACAUUUCUUCCUUCGGCUGCAAGGGCCUGUCUUUUCAUUUCCAUCCACCAAAAUUUCCUAGAUGCUCUCUCUGCCAUGAAGCCUGAUCUGAGCCUGCCUUAGCGCAUUUCAUGUCCUCUGGGACACCACACCUUGUUAGUUCUGCUCACGGCUUGCAUCAGUCCUCCCCUGCCCAUCCGCUAACUGUAAAGCUGGGUAAUGAUUCCACUUAGGAUGAUUAUUAUUUGGGUGGCCUUCUUUCAUGCCCUAAUCUUGUCCCAGAUGCAACACUCUGCAUGUGAUGGUUAACAGUUGGUGGAUUCUGAUACAGUAGCUACUAGUGGGCAGGGCAGCUUUGAGCCCCUAGGAAGGAGACCAGGGGUGUCUACCCAGGCUCUGGGGGCUCCCAGAUCCUCAAAAGGGAGUGGUACCAACAGGUGUGGGUUCAAGUAAGUGGGGAGAUCCAGAACACCUGUCUUUGGUGCCCUAAACUCUCCUUAUACUGACCUUCGUACUCUACCUUAUUUGGGGCAGCCUCUUACUUAGUUCAUACUAAAGUGUAAAUGACUAAUGGUUUAUCCUUCCCUGGGAGAGCUGCCUUCUCAGAGCUUACCUAAACUUGGAGAUUAAGGCCUGAAGCUGUGCCAGAAGGUCAGUGAGAGAGGAAGCUACUUGUCUUGGAUGAAGGCUUUCCCAGGCUUCUGAAAUCACCCCCUUGGGCAGCUGCGUGGCACGAUGUACCCCUCGAUUAAUGUACUUUCUCCCUGUCCAGACUGUUUAGGCCACUCUGAGGAUGAUCCCUUUCUCUCUGGACUCUCCUUUCCCAGCCUAACUUGAAAGACAUUAAAUCCACCCCAAGUGGCUUCAGGGAAAAGUAUGGAAGUCUGUGGGCUGCAGGCCUGUCUGUUCUGGCAUAAUUUAAAUGUCUUUGUGCUGUAAAAAUGGAAAUGUCUAAUAAGAGUUCUUACUGUGCUCUUCGGCUUGCUAUAGACAGUGGUGCAAAGGAAACCUCAGGGUUCAGGUUGUAACAAGGCUGCAUUCCCUUCUGCAGAUCCCUGGAGACUCCCUGGGUCCCACCUACCACAUCUGCAGAAUGGGGAGAGGUGAAUCACUGGAUAUGUUUUCAGGCACCAGAUGACUCCUCAUCUGUCAGGGGUCCUGCUCAGAGGGUGGCAGCAGGAGGAAAUGAAAUGACAUGCACAGAACACCCAGCUCAGCAGUGGAAACGCGAAACUCCACCAUGAGUUUGCUUGUGAUGUGAGUAAGAUCUGGACUCUACUAACCAGGGAAGGCUUGCAGACAAGGUGAUUCCUUCUGGAAGCUUCCUCAGAUCUUGGGAGCGUUCCCCUGAAUUACAUCACCGACCUCCUGAAUCCAUGAAAUCUCCAGAAGAACAGCACAAAACCACACUUCAUCUGGAGGGUCGAACAUCGUGAUGGCCCCUCAUCCAGGCUCAAUUCCUGCCUUUCUACUCUCAGGGGGAAGCUGCUGCCCUUGGGAGGAGGAGCCCACUGCCUCCCUGAGAUCAGAAAUGAGCACUUCCUACCAGGCCGAUGAAUUGCAGUGAGCACCAUGAUCCCACUCAUUGGAACGGUAUCUUUAGAAUACCCACGGAGUAAAAUCAAUGAAAAUCAAA